Molecule: ribosomal RNA, 1382 nt
Filed under: Staphylococcus aureus
Lineage: Bacteria; Bacillati; Bacillota; Bacilli; Caryophanales; Staphylococcaceae
Description: bacterial SSU rRNA
Rfam family: Bacterial small subunit ribosomal RNA
Source: RNAcentral
AUACCGGAUAAUAUUUUGAACCGCAUGGUUCAAAAGUGAAAGACGGUCUUGCUGUCACUUAUAGAUGGAUCCGCGCUGCAUUAGCUAGUUGGUAAGGUAACGGCUUACCAAGGCAACGAUGCAUAGCCGACCUGAGAGGGUGAUCGGCCACACUGGAACUGAGACACGGUCCAGACUCCUACGGGAGGCAGCAGUAGGGAAUCUUCCGCAAUGGGCGAAAGCCUGACGGAGCAACGCCGCGUGAGUGAUGAAGGUCUUCGGAUCGUAAAACUCUGUUAUUAGGGAAGAACAUAUGUGUAAGUAACUGUGCACAUCUUGACGGUACCUAAUCAGAAAGCCACGGCUAACUACGUGCCAGCAGCCGCGGUAAUACGUAGGUGGCAAGCGUUAUCCGGAAUUAUUGGGCGUAAAGCGCGCGUAGGCGGUUUUUUAAGUCUGAUGUGAAAGCCCACGGCUCAACCGUGGAGGGUCAUUGGAAACUGGAAAACUUGAGUGCAGAAGAGGAAAGUGGAAUUCCAUGUGUAGCGGUGAAAUGCGCAGAGAUAUGGAGGAACAUCAGUGGCGAAGGCGACUUUCUGGUCUGUAACUGACGCUGAUGUGCGAAAGCGUGGGGAUCAAACAGGAUUAGAUACCCUGGUAGUCCACGCCGUAAACGAUGAGUGCUAAGUGUUAGGGGGUUUCCGCCCCUUAGUGCUGCAGCUAACGCAUUAAGCACUCCGCCUGGGGAGUACGACCGCAAGGUUGAAACUCAAAGGAAUUGACGGGGACCCGCACAAGCGGUGGAGCAUGUGGUUUAAUUCGAAGCAACGCGAAGAACCUUACCAAAUCUUGACAUCCUUUGACAACUCUAGAGAUAGAGCUUUCCCCUUCGGGGGACAAAGUGACAGGUGGUGCAUGGUUGUCGUCAGCUCGUGUCGUGAGAUGUUGGGUUAAGUCCCGCAACGAGCGCAACCCUUAAGCUUAGUUGCCAUCAUUAAGUUGGGCACUCUAAGUUGACUGCCGGUGACAAACCGGAGGAAGGUGGGGAUGACGUCAAAUCAUCAUGCCCCUUAUGAUUUGGGCUACACACGUGCUACAAUGGACAAUACAAAGGGCAGCGAAACCGCGAGGUCAAGCAAAUCCCAUAAAGUUGUUCUCAGUUCGGAUUGUAGUCUGCAACUCGACUACAUGAAGCUGGAAUCGCUAGUAAUCGUAGAUCAGCAUGCUACGGUGAAUACGUUCCCGGGUCUUGUACACACCGCCCGUCACACCACGAGAGUUUGUAACACCCGAAGCCGGUGGAGUAACCUUUUAGGAGCUAGCCGUCGAAGGUGGGACAAAUGAUUGGGGUGAAGUCGUAACAAGGUAGCCGUAUCGGAAGGUGCGGCUGGAUCACCUCCUUU